Molecule: long non-coding RNA, 1198 nt
Organism: Neofelis nebulosa (Clouded leopard)
Lineage: Eukaryota; Metazoa; Chordata; Mammalia; Carnivora; Felidae
Exons: 2
Source: RefSeq, a predicted model, not a curated record
CCGCUGCGCCUGCGCCGUGUCCGCCCGGCCCCUGGCCUCCCACGAGGAGGGUCCUCGGUUCGGUUGGAGCGGCGGGGGCGUCUCUGGUGCCCCCGAUUCCGGACCCGCGGGGGUGCCGUCUCCACCGCCCGGCCGACCCCCGAAUCCCAGAGCCUAGCUCCUCCAGCGUGAGGGCGCGUGGGGAUCCGCCGCCUGCGGGCCGGAGGAGCGACGCCAACACCGGGCACAGCAGGCCCAGUGUGGGGCCUGGACAGCCUGCCCCUCCAGCUGCCUCCCGCCCCGGGGCAGGGGCACCGAGGGGCCAGCUUGGCCCUCCCGCCAGCCCCUCCCAGGCAGGCCAGGCCGGUCCCCACCUGGCCCCACCCCAGGCUCAUGACACCCACCUUGGUGAGUCAGCUUGACUCCAGCCUCCCCAGCGCCAUCAUCAGAUGCCUGAACCUCACCGCGCUCCCCAGUCUCCCUCCCCGCUCACGUUUCUCUACCCUGUGACCUCCUUGGGCCCUGUCCUGUUUGCAUGAGUCGCCCGCUCUCCCUGGUCCUUCCCAGCCUAGCUAUUGAAGUUUUAAUUCUGAAAAUUACCAGAUGAGAUCAUACCUGACCUCUGGGCUGCAGCCUCCUGUCCCCUCCCUUCCCCUGAGCCAGCAAUGCAGUGUGCAUGCGAUGCAGUCAGACUGCCCAGCUCUGGACAGACACCUACCUGAUGACCCUGCGAGAACGUGACCAGAUGCCAGCUCUUCUGCCUCGACGUCACCCCGGGGACAAUGUCGAUCCCAGGCACUCCUGCUGCGUACCCACUGCGUGGACCCCCCUCAUCCAUUGUCCUUGCCGUGCUCGUAGUCCAGGCAACUGGGAAGGGGUGUGCACGUCCUGAUGCCCAGAGCCUGUGAAUCUGGGGCCUUACGAGGCACAAGGGACUUUACAGACACGAUUACAUUCAGGCUUUUGAGAUGGGGAGAUAGUCCUGGAUCAUGCUGUUGAGGCCGACGUCCUUACAAGUAGGAAGCAGGAGGGUCGGAGUCUGAGGAAAUGGAGAGACAGAAGCAGAGGCCAGAAUGACGCAGGGCUAUAAACCCAGGGAUGUGGGCAGCCUCUCGAAGCUGAAUGGGAACAGGAAGUUGGACCUCCCCUGAACCCCCCAGGAGGACCGCAGUCCCACCGAGGCCUGGAACCAUUAGGGAAUAAAUGCAGGUUGGUUUAA